RNAcentral lists this long non-coding RNA (1084 nucleotides) under Serinus canaria (Common canary). RNAcentral's name for it is "lncRNA (ENSSCAG00000013236.1)". The record is from RNAcentral. Lineage: Eukaryota; Metazoa; Chordata; Aves; Passeriformes; Fringillidae.
CCUGAACUCAAUCAUUGCUGCAAGACAAGAACAAGAACCCAGGCAAACACAAACAACUGUUUUUGGAUUAUGACCCAUGAAUAAGCAUGACUCAAUAUGGUUAGAGGAUGGCCAUUCUCCCAUCUGCUGUUUGAUUUGCUUGUCCUUCCUGUCAAAAGCAAACAAACAAACCAACAACAAACAUGCAUGAGUUCAGGAGACCUGGGAGAUCAGACACCUGAUUUCACUAUAUGAAGACCUUUUUCUUGAAGUGACAGAAAAGACAACAUGCAUCUCUAAGACCUGUUCAAUCAAAGGGGUGAGUCACCUUCACAUGGAGUCUGGAGCUUUGUGUGUCCCAGGCCAGAGCUGGUAGCAAAAUCCUGAAACACCAGGCUUAGGAGAGCUGAAAGUACCCUGAUAGACUCCAUCAGACUGUUUGCAAUGAAACCCUAUCUUUGUAAAAUGCUAAUCAGAGCCAGCAAAUAUCCAAGCAUCCCAAGAUGAGAAACUCAUCCACCUAGUACUCUGCUGAUGGUCUAGCAGGAGAUCAUUUUCUAAGGGCCACUGUGCCUUAGGACAUCACUCUUCGGACAUCUUAAAGGUACAUUAUAAAAGAAGUUAAUAUGAAGAUAAAUUGUUUGCUGGAAGGAAAAAGAAGAGGAAAGAAAGAGAAGAAACAAAAGAAAGAGUGAGCAAAGAGCAGAAGCCUCCUUGAUCUAGCCAUCACUUGGCUGAAUGGGAGGCACAGGUUCACAUUACACUCCUUUGGAAUGAUAAUCACACCCUUCUUUGAGGCUGACACACCACUGGGAGGAUUAUCUUUGCAGGGCAGCCCAGAUCCUUCUCACUGAUAAAGCUGCUGUAUCUGAAAAGUAUUUGGCAGAACUGUCACCAUACACACAAACAGAGGAGCUGACUCUCCUAACCUCAGAGGCUUGGUAUGGGGAGUUGUCUGCAUCAGCUCCUGUGCCCUUCAGAUCAACUCUACAAAUCACCUCUGCAACUUGGAGAAGAAAACACGGUUUCCUUGGGGAGCUUUGAGGUGGUUUUAUUAAUGGUUUCCAAACCUUCUGAGGUAACAUUUUCAAGGGCUAAAAAGAAU